GCCGAAGUGGCGGAACAGGCAGACGCGCACGACUCAAAAUCGUGUCCCGUAAGGGGUGUGGGUUCGAUUCCCACCUUCGGCA
Molecule: transfer RNA, 82 nt
Filed under: Anaerolinea sp.
Lineage: Bacteria; Bacillati; Chloroflexota; Anaerolineae; Anaerolineales; Anaerolineaceae
Description: tRNA-Leu
Rfam family: tRNA
About the family: Transfer RNA (tRNA) molecules are approximately 80 nucleotides in length.
Source: RNAcentral